This 120-nucleotide ribosomal RNA is filed under the name Ipomoea nil (Japanese morning glory). The record is from RNAcentral. Lineage: Eukaryota; Viridiplantae; Streptophyta; Magnoliopsida; Solanales; Convolvulaceae.
GGAUGCGAUCAUACCAGCACUAAUGCACCGGAUCCCAUCAGAACUCCGAAGUUAAGCGUGCUUGGGCGAGAGUAGUACUAGGAUGGGUGACCCCCUUGGGAAGUCCUCGUGUUGCAUCCC